Molecule: long non-coding RNA, 484 nt
Organism: Phacochoerus africanus (Common warthog)
Lineage: Eukaryota; Metazoa; Chordata; Mammalia; Artiodactyla; Suidae
Exons: 3
Source: RefSeq, a predicted model, not a curated record
GUGAAGGUAAAUCACCGCGUCCUUUUAUUCGACCCCAGAGGCCUGAGUGUUCGAGGUCGCGGUUCCUUGGCAGUGCGCCUCCGGGAUCGCGGGGAUCAAUAAUACCCCCGGAUGCUGUGCCCAAGCAGGGCCGCCUCGUGCUUCCGGGGGGCUCGAGAAGGACCAGGCUUCGGAGUCGCCAAGCUGACAAAGAUGGACAAGGUGGAGAGAGAAUUCCCAGGUAAUGGGAUUGUAAACAGAUGCAGGUCUGAGCAAUAGCCUGGUGACCUUUGCUAAAGUGUAUAGCAACAGCAGACAAGAUUCCAGGAAGAACAGCAGCUGUUAUGGAUCUAUGAUGAUGAAAGCCACACAACAAAGACAACUGAACAAAGAAGACAGCAGGAGCUUGGGAACUUCAUGACAUUCUUGAACAGUGGUGCCAGCACUGAAUGAAUGCCCUUAGGACCUCUUAUUAAAUGACAUAUACUAACUCCUUUCUGUUUAA